CCCCGUGCUCGGCACCCCCUCCUCCGUCGCGACGCCGAGGUACGAGCCGCAGCCCUCGGUGCUCAGCACCCCCUCCGCCGCCGCGACGCCGGGGUGCGAGCCGCGGGCGGAUCGAGCCGGCGGAGUCUAUCUUCACGCCCGCCGCCAGCAGAAUCCAUCAGCGCCGGAGUGCGCCGAGACAUCCACCUCCACCACCACCUCCUCCCGUCGCCUCCCCCGCCACCCACUCGCCAUCCGUGUUGCUAGGGCACGUACUGCAGGAGGUGUGAGCGCAACGAUGAGCCGCACGGUGCCUGGGCACUAGCAAGGUGUUUCGAUCUGUAGACGACGUCCAAUGGAAGCUACAACCCAUAACAGGUUGCCACAAAUUUCAGAAAAGAAUCUGAAUGGACUUAAUACGUGGACAAGCAUAUAUUCAGGUUGGAUCUAUUCCUUUUAUCACUUGGGAGAGGACAUCAUAUUGGCUUGCUGGACCCUUUUAAGGAUAAAAACACUUCUGGUAGGGGACUGAUUAUCACCGUCUUGUUUGGAUGAUGACGUCAUCAACAAUGAUGUCUAUUAUGAUCAUAGUGAAAAUAGAGACCACGUUCAUGAUAAGAUAAAUUGAUGGAAAUGCAAGUGUUUUGUCAAACUAACACGAGUUGAGUUUGAUAUCCUUCUGGUUUGUUGAUUAGAAUAUUCUGAAAUUCUUUGGUUUAGUAAAGGUUGCAAUGUUGUUCUGCAGUUAGAGCCUUGAGAGGGAUUGAAUUGAGCUUGUGGGUAUAUUUAUCUAUUAAUGUUUCUUUAUUUAUGCUAAAAAUGCAUGCCGUGCUAAUAUACCUAAAAUGCGUAGUGGAUAAGUUUCACUGCUACCAUUAUUACAUAUUAACUGACAGCUAAGGUCAUAUAAGUAAUUAGUAAACUUUGGCAGUUAAAAAUCCAAAUGUCCAAGUGUUAGUAGCAAAAGCAAUGCUGAGUUUUUUUGGUCAGAUUCUAGCUUUGUUUAGUCUAAAUAGUCCACAUCGACUCACCUUAGCGGUCAUGAUGGAUUGGUAAAGUGUCUCCACACUUGCGAUUCAGUUUCUACCCCUUUCUCCUUACUGCUUCUGAAAAGGUUCAUGUACAAUGCAGAACAAUGCAGACCUAUAUUUUUUAUACCAGAGCCUGUCUUGCUGUUGAGAUAUAUGAACUUCAUUGUGCUAAUUAUACAUAAAAGUUUGAUUAGAUAGAUCCUGAUAAUAUUUCAUUGGUGCCUCUGUGGUUUCAGAGUAGGACAUAUGGUGUCACCUACAGCCUAGCAUCUACUUAUUUCCACAUUUGAUUGUUGAGUAUAGAUUCUACUUAAAAUUCAAAUUGUUGAAGCUGCACUUCCCUUCUAUGAUAAGUUGCAGAUUGGUAGUCAGAUAGUUUUUCAUAUUGUGUAUGCAGGUCAAAUUAACUGUGAUCACAUGAUUGGAGUGUUUGUUCAUGUCUCUGUAGUCUGUAGACAUGGACAGUUACAGACUGCUUAAAUCUUAUCACCACAAUUUUAGUUGUUACAUAGUACAAAGUGAUGUGCUGUGUAUACCUCCUGCAUGUAUGUGCACUUAAUAAUUGUGUUGCGUGUGAUUUGCUUGCAUCCAUUAUAUCAAGACCUAUUGUAUAGAUUAUUAUAUGCGAUUAUUCACCAGCUAUGUUCAGACUACCCAGCAUUUCAAGAUUGCUCUAUCAUUUUCUUUUCUUUUUUUUUGCCAAAUUCCAUUAUGUCUAUCCUUAAACAAAGCUGCAUGUGACUAUAUUUCUUUUAAUCACCUUCCAGUUGAAUGUUUAGGUCAGAGUUGCCCAUUGGGCAUACUCCUGUGUCCAACUGGAAAGGGCAUGGUUGCUUAAACAUCAGUCUACAAUCUAUGAGGGGAAUAUACAAUAUGAAGUGUACAGGCCCAAAUACUUAUGGAUGCAAUCAGGAUGUGCCGGUGCUUCGUCAUCAAUGCUAUGCAAUGAACUGGCUCUGUCUAUAAGAUUUAUUAGCAAAUGAUGGUCAGAAUCACCAAUGACUUUCUGUAAGCUUCAGCAUUAAAUAUUUGAACAAUAUAUGGUUUUGUUCAUAAUUUCUAAAACUUGUGGGAAGUAUGUUUAUAAUUUUUCAAAGAGUUAUUAGAAGAGUUGGCUCAGUUCAAGGUAUUGCUUUCAUCAGCACUCUGAAGUUCUUUUUUAAAGUUGUAGAUAUGCAUUCCUCAUGUCUUUGGAUAUGUACAACUAAAUUUUUUUGUAAAAAUAGAUGAUGCAUAAACUAACACCGUGUCACAACAAUUAUCAGGCGGCCAGAUGGGCCCCAGUUUAUUGGGCGACGAAUAUUGUUGGUUCGGCUACUUGAUUUGUUUGCAACUUGUGCUACAGUAUACCGUGGAUGCUUCUUGAAAAAAAAUACCAUGACCUAUGCUGUAAACUAACAAAGUGAUAUGUCUUAUGAAGAAGUUAUAUAUACUAUUAUUUUGUAAAACCAAUAUCAUUGUGAAAUGUUACAUGUAUUUGUUACCAGACUUCUUUGGACUGCUUUGAACUGAUAUUACAUCCAUAACAACAUAUAAAUACAGCCCAGUUGGGCACAAUAAUCAUUUUCUUGAUCAGGAUUACUAUAGUUAGACUGCAGAAAGAGUGGGCAAUUGGAAUGGAAGAUGACGGUUAAUGUAUUUGCUAAAUGCUACAUAUUUCACUUCUUGAAAGCUUCACUUUGUUGUCUUUUUCGUAAUAAAUUGGUUUUAUUUAUUUGAUCAUGAUGUGAACCUAUAGCAAUGGACGGGCACCGACCUAUAUAUAAUAUAAGAGUUUUGAGAUUAUUGGAGUAGUAAUCAGCUGCUUCCAUACAAUAAUUGGCAUUCUUACUCUGAUUCAGUUGAAGGGAGUGACACAUUAUUGAAAUAUCCUCACUUCUUAUGUUGAUUUGCUGACAUGGUUUGCCAAUCCAUGUUUGCAUGUAGGCACCACAUCUCUACGAGUACACAAUACAUAAUUUUACUGCUGGACAACACUUUGCUGUUUAAUUAUUGUUAUAUUUCGAAUCCUCAAUACUGGAUUAUUAAAACCAAAGGGAAGCGUGCUUUCAGUUGAGGGAUAAACAUGCUAAGAUGCAGGUAGAGAUCUUGGUAUUACAACUUAUAAUAUAAAAUCCUUGGAACUUGGACGACUCAGGUUCAGUUUUGUUUAAAAUCUAACAUAUGUAAGAGUUAUCUUAAAUUUCUCUGUUUUGUGGAAUAUCAAUAACAUUUAUCUUAAAUGUAUAUGUUUUGUAGAUUUUCGAUGUAUAUAUGAUGUGUACAAUAUCCUAUUUGUAGGGUAGGAAAAUCCAACAGAUUGGAACUACUAUGGUUGAUCCCA
Long non-coding RNA from Panicum hallii, 3333 nucleotides. RefSeq lists it as uncharacterized. The record is from RefSeq and is a predicted model, not a curated record. Lineage: Eukaryota; Viridiplantae; Streptophyta; Magnoliopsida; Poales; Poaceae. The transcript has 3 exons.